Molecule: ribosomal RNA, 460 nt
Filed under: uncultured bacterium
Lineage: Bacteria
Description: partial 16S ribosomal RNA
Rfam family: Bacterial small subunit ribosomal RNA
Source: RNAcentral
CCUACGGGUGGCAGCAGUGAGGAAUAUUGGUCAAUGGCCGGAAGGCUGAACCAGCCAAGCCGCGUGAAGGACGAAGGUGCCAAGCAUUGUAAACUUCUUUUGUCAAGGGACAAAAUCAGGCUCGAGAGCCUGACCGAGGGUACUUGAAGAAAAAGCAUCGGCUAACUCCGUGCCAGCAGCCGCGGUAAUACGGAGGAUGCGAGCGUUAUCCGGAUUUACUGGGUGUAAAGGGAGCGUAGACGGCUGUGCAAGUCUGAAGUGAAAGCCCGUGGCUCAACCGCGGAACUGCUUUGGAAACUGUAUGGCUUGAGUACUGGAGAGGCAGGCGGAAUUCCUAGUGUAGCGGUGAAAUGCGUAGAUAUUAGGAGGAACACCAGUGGCGAAGGCGGCCUGCUGGACAGAAACUGACGUUGAGGCUCGAAAGCGUGGGGAGCAAACAGGAUUAGAUACCCGUGUAGUC